CCUACGGGGGGCUGCAGUGGGGAAUAUUGGACAAUGGGCGAAAGCCUGAUCCAGCCAUGCCGCGUGUGUGAAGAAGGCCUUCGGGUUGUAAAGCACUUUCAGUGGGGAAGAAAGCCUUGGGGCUAAUACCCUCGAGGAAGGACAUCACCCACAGAAGAAGCACCGGCUAACUCCGUGCCAGCAGCCGCGGUAAUACGGAGGGUGCGAGCGUUAAUCGGAAUUACUGGGCGUAAAGCGCGCGUAGGCGGUCUGAUAAGCCGGUUGUGAAAGCCCCGGGCUCAACCUGGGAACGGCAUCCGGAACUGUCAGGCUAGAGUGCAGGAGAGGAAGGUAGAAUUCCCGGUGUAGCGGUGAAAUGCGUAGAGAUCGGGAGGAAUACCAGUGGCGAAGGCGGUCUUCUGGACUGACACUGACGCUGAGGUGCGAAAGCGUGGGUAGCAAACAGGAUUAGAUACCCUUGUAGUC
Molecule: ribosomal RNA, 465 nt
Filed under: Vreelandella stevensii
Lineage: Bacteria; Pseudomonadati; Pseudomonadota; Gammaproteobacteria; Oceanospirillales; Halomonadaceae
Description: partial 16S ribosomal RNA
Rfam family: Bacterial small subunit ribosomal RNA
Source: RNAcentral